This is a long non-coding RNA of Balaenoptera musculus (blue whale), 937 nucleotides long. RefSeq lists it as uncharacterized. The record is from RefSeq and is a predicted model, not a curated record. The transcript is spliced from 3 exons. NCBI's taxonomy places the organism in Eukaryota, Metazoa, Chordata, Mammalia, Artiodactyla, Balaenopteridae.
UUUCCUAGCUUUGUCCACUGAAAAGGCCUAGAAGCAAUGACAACCCAGAACAAUUUCUAAAUAUUAUUCUUCACUAUAAAGAAUCAGAACUCCUUAAAGAAAUGGCUGAAACCAGCUCUGGGGCAGAGAAAGCACAAGUUCUGGAGGCUGGGAAGUCAAGAUCAAGGUCCUGGCCAAUCUGGUUCCUGGGAAAAAAAAUCAGCAACCCCUGCAGAAGAAUGAACAAAGGAUAUGAAGAGAUAAUUUAGAGAAGAAGAAACUCAAAAAGCUACCAAGCAUAUGAAGAAAUGCUCAGAUUCAUUGAUAAUCGGACACAUUUAAUUUGGAACAAAACUGAUAUGUCAUUUUAGUUACUGUAUUAACUGGGAACCUUCAUGCCCUGCUAGUGGGGAAUGUAGCCUGGUGCACCCUUGUGGAAAGCACGUUUGCUCAAAUUAGUCAAACUAAAGGUAACCGUCCUCUAUGUCUGACAGUUUCCCUCCUGGGUAUAUAUCUCAAAUUCUCCCAUGGGCCUAUGCAAGGAAAUAUAUAAGGAUAUUCACUGCAGUGUUAUUUGUGAUCAUUAAUAACUGGAGGCUGUCUGGGUGUCCCUGCCUGGGAGAGGGGGUACUCACCAUGGAAAUCCAUGCAGAAGUUGGUAGCAACAGACUAGUUAUAUAGCUAGCAACAUGGAUGGUUCUUAAAAACAUGUUUUUAAGUAAAAAUCAUAAAAUGAUACUGUACAUUUUAAAAUGGUGAAGACAGUAAAUUUUCUGGGUUUUUUUUUUUUACCACAAUAAAAAAAAAAAUGAAAUGAGAGGUAUUACAAAACAUGAUUUUCCAUCUUUGUUAACUAAAAAUAAGUCAUACUAAAAAGCUGUAUACAUUUUGUAAGAACAAAUACAAAUAAAAAGAUGUACUUUUUAAAAUAAUUAUUUAAAUUAUUUAUCAUCUGUUC